CUCUCCUCCUCUCAUCCUCCUCUACUCCUCUCCUCCUCGUCUCCUCCUCUCACCUUCUCUUCUGUAUUACUGUAACUUGUCAGUAACUAAGACAACCAACCAGAGUAUGAACUUGAGUGAGGACGUGAGCAAGGAAAGGAGGGGAUAGUGAGAACAUGGACUCCAUCAGAAUGCGACUGACCCAGCCCUCCCCCUCCUCCUCCUCCCCCUCCUCCUCCUCCUCCUCAGUCUGUCAUGUGCAGUCAGGAGGCGGGGCUGAAGCCGAUGAAGGGGGCGGGACCCUGACAGUGGAGGUGAAGCUUGUCCAAUCAGAGAGUCAGGAGGUGGGGCGUAACAGUGGCAUCACAGCUCUGGUGCUACGGCAACCACAGCGUUACUGGAAGGUUCUGUACCUCUGUCUGGCUGGACUGCUGCUUCUCCUCUCAGCCUUCCUAUUGGCCUACGCAUUGUUCGGCAGCUCGUGCCCCUGUAGUACACGGGGGGAGAUGGUUGCCGUGGCGAAGGCAAACCCCAGCUCUCCAGGUGAGAUGCACAUGGGAGACCUGAGAGACAUGCUGAAGAGAUACCUGCAGGAUGACGACAUAGAGAACACUGUGAGGAGGGUGAGCAGGGCCAGUCACCCCUCAGGGUCUCCAGAAGGAACUCUCCUGGCUGCUGACAUCCUGCACAGGUUCCGGCAGCUCCGCAUGGAUCACACCUGGACUGACUCCCACUAUGCCACGCUGCAGUUCCCCUCCAGGACCCAGAAGAACAGUGUAUGGGUGGUGGACUCGGAGGGGGAGGUGUUGGAGGAGAUUCCUCUGGAGAACCCUGCAGCCUACUGUGCAUACAGUGCUAAAGGCACUGCUACGGGAGGAGUGGUUUAUGCAAACUAUGGACGGCAGGAGGACUUUGAUUGGCUGCGUUCGGCAGAGGUGUCUGUGGUUGGCUCUGUGGUGGUGAUGCGUGUGGGGGGCGGGGUCAGCUAUGCGGAGAAGGUGUGGCACGCCCAGCGAGCGGGAGGAGGCGGCGCUCUCAUCUACCCCGACCCCGCAGACAUCCCCCAAGACCCGCGCAGGCUCGGCCUCAACAGCCACACGGCCAUCUCUGAACACGUGCACCUGGGAUCAGGUGAUCCGUUCACCCCAGGCUUCCCCUCCUUUAACCACACCCAGUUCCCGCCCACCCAGUCCUCAGGCCUGCCACUCAUCCCUGCACAGCCAAUCAGUGCCAACGUGGCCUCCAAACUGCUCAGCCAGCUGUCAGGCCCAGCAUGUCCCCGAGGGUGGCAGGGCCGGCUGGCCUACGUCAGCUGUGUCCUGGGCCCCUCCUUCACCUCCCACCCCGGCAGGAGGCUGCGCAUGGAGGUGCACAACCACAUGGCACCUGUCCUCAUCAACAACAUCUUUGCCUCCCUAGAGGGCAGGUUGGAGCCAGACCAGUACAUCAUCAUGGGAGCCCAGAGGGAUGCGUGGGGGCCGGGGGCGGUGAAGGCCGGGGUGGGGACCGCAGUGCUUCUGGAGCUCGCUCGCACCUUCACCUCCAUGGUGCAGAACGGGUUUUUCCCUAGAAGGAGUCUUCUGUUUGUCAGUUGGGACGCUGGAGAGUUUGGACAUGUAGGAGCUACAGAGUGGUUAGAGGGUUACCUCUCUAUGCUGCAUCUGAAAGCCGUGGCAUACUUCAGCCUGGACCAGUGCAUUAUGGGUGAUGAUAUUCUGUCUGCCUACACCAGUCCUCUGCUAGUGGACCUGAUAGAAGGAGCCAUCAAACAGGUAGAGCAUCCCAAGCAUGUGGGCCAGAACAUCCACAGCCAGGCAGAGAAGGAGGGAGGCAGCUGGAGGAUUAUCAAGCCUCUCUACCUGAACAGUGGAGCGUACAGUUUCACAGCCUUCGCUGGAGUCCCAGCCAUGGAGCUACGCUUCACAGAGGAGCGGGCCUACCCGUUUGUCAACACCCCGCUGGACAGCCCCAGCCGCCUCCAGGAGGUGCUGGGGGGCCGUCUGGGGGCGGUGGGGCGGAGCCUUGGCCAACUGGUGGGGCUGAUGGUGCUGCGAUUGGCUCACGACCACAUCCUGCCUCUACGCAUCACUUCCUACUCUCACACUGCCUUGCAGUUCAGCGCCCAACUCAACAAACACUCCACCGAGCUGCAGGCGCGGGGCCUUUCUCCUCAGUGGGUGUUCAGUGCCAGAGGAGACUACAGCAGAGCAGCAGAGCGGCUGCAGACGACCAUCAUCAACAGUGACCUGCAGGAUGAGACCAUGACACGCAUACACAACACCCGCAUCAUGAGAGUGGAAUACUACUUCCUGUCCCAGUACGUGUCGACUGUGGAGACUCCGUUCCGGCAUGUUCUGCACGGCCGAGGCGAGCACACACUGAGCGCGCUCACCGAGCACCUGGCCUUGCUGACCUCCGACCCUGAGCGCUUCGACGAGGCACGUUUCCGACGGCAACUGGCGCUUUUCACUUGGACCCUGCAGGGGGCUGCCAACGCCCUGAGCGGAGACGUCUGGAACAUAGACCAUGCCUUCUGAUCCUCACACACACACACCACACACAUCACACACACCAUACACACACCAUACACACACACAUCACACACACAUCACACACACAUAAUGUUUUUACAUUAUGUGUGUGUGAGUCUGGAGCAGGUGCGCCAGACUCCUAGCAUACUACCUAGUGUACCACCUAGCAUGCAACCUAGUGUACCAACUAGUGUACCAACUAGCGUACUACCUAGCAUACAACCUAGUGUACCACCUAGCAUACAACCUAGUGUACCACCUAGCAGACUACCUAGUGUACCACCUAGUGUACCAACUAGCGUACCACCUACAUCCUAGUGUGCUAUCUAGUAUACUACCUACUUCCUUGUGUGCUAAAUUCCAAUUCUAACCACCUCCAGGUCAGGGGUCAGAGUGCAACAGCGAGGUGAGCAGGGUGUCAUGACAAUGAGUCCUGACUGGUGAUUGGUCUGAUCCUUUUGUAUGUGAAUGAUACUAACUACCAGGGAGGUUAGAGGGCAGGGUUAGGAGGUUAGAGGGCAGGGUUAGAGGUUAGAGGGCAGGGUUAGAGGUUAAUGUCCAAUCUCCUGCAUCUGGUCUGUAAUGUAACAGAUUAUCGGGGGGAGUGUGUCCCAUAAUUAUGACAGUCUGACUGUCAGCCACAGAGCGGUAUCUGCUGUCAAUCAUGCAGUUACUGGCCAGGGGUCGGAGUGUAGGGGCUUGAGUGAUCUGACCCUUGACCCCUGAUCCCCUGACCCUUGAUCCCUGGUCUGUGACCGUGGAGGUUUCUGCUGCUCCAGGGAGACCAGUGAUACAAUGUUCUACUGGGUUCUGCUAUGUGCUACAAUGUUCUACUGGGUUGUACCACUGGUCUCCAAUAAACAUAAUGUUU
Osmerus eperlanus (European smelt) is the source of this 3381-nucleotide RNA transcript. It is a transcript of the gene named transferrin receptor 2, with no coding region annotated. The record is from RefSeq and is a predicted model, not a curated record. NCBI's taxonomy places the organism in Eukaryota, Metazoa, Chordata, Actinopteri, Osmeriformes, Osmeridae. The transcript is spliced from 20 exons.